This 249-nucleotide ribosomal RNA is filed under the name Escherichia coli. Its description in RNAcentral is "partial 16S ribosomal RNA". It matches the Rfam family "Bacterial small subunit ribosomal RNA", at positions 1 to 246 of the family's 1533-position model. Lineage: Bacteria; Pseudomonadati; Pseudomonadota; Gammaproteobacteria; Enterobacterales; Enterobacteriaceae. The record is from RNAcentral.
AAAUUGAAGAGUUUGAUCAUGGCUCAGAUUGAACGCUGGCGGCAGGCCUAACACAUGCAAGUCGAACGGUAACAGGAAGCAGCUUGCUGCUUUGCUGACGAGUGGCGGACGGGUGAGUAAUGUCUGGGAAACUGCCUGAUGGAGGGGGAUAACUACUGGAAACGGUAGCUAAUACCGCAUAACGUCGCAAGACCAAAGAGGGGGACCUUCGGGCCUCUUGCCAUCGGAUGUGCCCAGAUGGGAUUAGCU